This 253-nucleotide ribosomal RNA is filed under the name uncultured bacterium. Its description in RNAcentral is "partial 16S ribosomal RNA". It matches the Rfam family "Bacterial small subunit ribosomal RNA", at positions 524 to 776 of the family's 1533-position model. The record is from RNAcentral.
UACGAAGGGGGCGAGCGUUGUUCGGAUUUACUGGGCGUAAAGGGCGCGCAGGCGGCUCAUUUUGUCAGGCGUGAAAGCCCCGGGCUUAACCUGGGAACUGCGUUUGAUACGGAUGGGCUAGAGUUCGGGAGAGGAGAGUGGAAUUCCCAGUGUAGAGGUGAAAUUCGUAGAUAUUGGGAAGAACACCGGUGGCGAAGGCGGCUCUCUGGACCGUAACUGACGCUGAGGAGCGAAAGCGUGGGGAGCGAACAGG